Molecule: ribosomal RNA, 516 nt
Filed under: Cladosporium sp. 1 PV-2016
Lineage: Eukaryota; Fungi; Ascomycota; Dothideomycetes; Cladosporiales; Cladosporiaceae
Description: eukaryotic LSU rRNA
Rfam family: 5.8S ribosomal RNA (bases 167-320)
Source: RNAcentral
GAGGGAUCAUUACAAGUGACCCCGGCUACGGCCGGGAUGUUCAUAACCCUUUGUUGUCCGACUCUGUUGCCUCCGGGGCGACCCUGCCUUCGGGCGGGGGCUCCGGGUGGACACUUCAAACUCUUGCGUAACUUUGCAGUCUGAGUAAACUUAAUUAAUAAAUUAAAACUUUUAACAACGGAUCUCUUGGUUCUGGCAUCGAUGAAGAACGCAGCGAAAUGCGAUAAGUAAUGUGAAUUGCAGAAUUCAGUGAAUCAUCGAAUCUUUGAACGCACAUUGCGCCCCCUGGUAUUCCGGGGGGCAUGCCUGUUCGAGCGUCAUUUCACCACUCAAGCCUCGCUUGGUAUUGGGCAACGCGGUCCGCCGCGUGCCUCAAAUCGUCCGGCUGGGUCUUCUGUCCCCUAAGCGUUGUGGAAACUAUUCGCUAAAGGGUGUUCGGGAGGCUACGCCGUAAAACAACCCCAUUUCUAAGGUUGACCUCGGAUCAGGUAGGGAUACCCGCUGAACUUAAGCAUA